Molecule: long non-coding RNA, 814 nt
Organism: Coregonus clupeaformis (lake whitefish)
Lineage: Eukaryota; Metazoa; Chordata; Actinopteri; Salmoniformes; Salmonidae
Exons: 3
Source: RefSeq, a predicted model, not a curated record
GAUGUGUCAGAUAAAGCUGAGGUGUUGGGGGAGUACAUACUACAGUUUGGGAAGUACAGAGGCAAGUCCUUCAGGUGGCUGCUGGAAAAUGAUGUUGGAUACACUAUGUACCUCAUCAAAAAAUUUGGAAAAAGAAAAAGAGGCAGGCCAUUUCAGUACAGAGGGGAGCAGCAAAAUCAGUUUGCAGUCCUUUUUGGAAUAUGCCAUGAGCUUCAAAGAUAUUGAGGAGCUUUCAAAGUUUGAGUCUCACAAAACGAAUUCUCCUGCUGUGACCUCAGAUUGUGACACUCUGGUUGGCUUUGGUAAUCGGGCCAAAAGUACAUGGGGAGAAAUAUGGGAGAGCAGAGCUGCUGGGUACGCUUUCUUCAUUAUGUCAAGGAAAUGUGGUACAGGUUCAAAAAUGACAAACUGCAGCAGUACCUGCUAAUGAAAAAAGAGUCAUUGCCAUCAACCGUUACAUCACCAGCCUCUACUGCAACUCCUUACUCCCAAGAUUCACCAGCAUCAGCAGCUGUAGGAGCACCAUCUGUGUCUACUGGCAGAGGACAUGUUCAUGACAACAUGUCCAUCAAAACCUCCGUCUCCAUGAGGGUAAGUGUUCAUUUGAGUUCCCUUUUUGCAUGUCCUCUGAAUUUCUGUGCAUGUGCAUGUAUGAUAUAUUUAGUCUACAAGGUCAUUCAAUUGUGUAUUUGUGAAAUAAGUGUACUAUAAGUAAGUAAUCACUGUAGUCUACAUGUUGAUUUUUUACCUUUUGGUAUUUGUGAUUCCAGCACCAACACACCCUGCACGUCAGCCUGUGCCACCAGCACCAACA